RNAcentral lists this ribosomal RNA (209 nucleotides) under uncultured bacterium. RNAcentral describes it as "partial 16S ribosomal RNA". It matches the Rfam family "Bacterial small subunit ribosomal RNA", at positions 568 to 774 of the family's 1533-position model. The record is from RNAcentral.
UGCGCAGGUGGCCGCGCAAGUCGAGUGUGAAAGCCCCGAGCUUAACUUGGGAAUUGCGCUCGAAACUACGUGGCUAGAGUGUGGCAGAGGAAGGUGGAAUUCCACGUGUAGCGGUGAAAUGCGUAGAGAUGUGGAGGAACACCGAUGGCGAAGGCAGCCUUCUGGGCUAACACUGACACUCAUGCACGAAAGGCGUGGGGAAGCAAACA